UCUGAGAUUGGCUCCAUGGGUCAGAGCUGGGUGCUGAUAACACCCAGGUCAUGGGUUUGAUCCCCAUUCACUUAA
Molecule: non-coding RNA, 75 nt
Organism: Ficedula albicollis (Collared flycatcher)
Lineage: Eukaryota; Metazoa; Chordata; Aves; Passeriformes; Muscicapidae
Source: Rfam